RNAcentral lists this small nuclear RNA (141 nucleotides) under Aotus nancymaae (Ma's night monkey). Its description in RNAcentral is "U4 spliceosomal RNA (ENSANAG00000002498.1)". It matches the Rfam family "U4 spliceosomal RNA". From Rfam's summary of the family: U4 small nuclear RNA (U4 snRNA) is a component of the major U2-dependent spliceosome. The structure of U4 snRNA from yeast and human has been reported. The record is from Rfam by way of RNAcentral. Lineage: Eukaryota; Metazoa; Chordata; Mammalia; Primates; Aotidae.
AUCUUUGCACAAUGGCAGUAUCGUAGCCAAUGAGGUUUAUCCGAGAUGCGAUUAUUGCUAAUUGAAAACUUUUCCCAAUACCGCACCAUGAUGACAUGCAAUACAGUCGGCAUUGGCAAUUUUUGACAGUCUCUAGGGAGA